Molecule: long non-coding RNA, 609 nt
Organism: Lepus europaeus (European hare)
Lineage: Eukaryota; Metazoa; Chordata; Mammalia; Lagomorpha; Leporidae
Exons: 5
Source: RefSeq, a predicted model, not a curated record
CCGAGAUCCUAUUUUUAAACCUGGAAGCUGCGCAGAGACCAGUCUGCAAACAGGAACCUUUAAUAAAGUAGGAGUACAUCAUCCCACUGCAUCCUGGACACCGUGGUUUCUGACGAGCAGUCAGCUGUCCUUCGUGCUGCGUUCCUUUGAACACGGACACACACGGGGAGGAGUGGUCAGAUACGACUCAGCGCUGAGAAACUACAGACUGUUGAUGCCCAUACAGUACGGAUGGACGUCAUGUGCCAAUGAGGACUGACAGGGAACAGCACGCAAGCAGCAGUCUGAGGACAGACAGUGUGAAUGGAAAGUUUUGAAGACAAAGUUCCUACCUCAGUAGAUACAAUGUGGAGUUAUAGAAACGAAUCGAGUUUCAGACUUGGGUCACUUGAUGACUACGCAGCUUCUUGACUAAGUAGGAGCUGAUCUCCUUGAGAGAAGGCCUUACACGCUCUCCCAGCUACAAGAGGAGACUUCAAAAGUUCAUGGAGAAAUGGAACUAAAAGGCAGACACCCUGGAGAAAGGUGGUGGGUUACAGCAGUCCUGGAGAAGGCCCCUUUGUGGGACCCCCGUCGCAGCCCUGGAGAACUGAGGCUUGGCUGCUGCUC